CCUACGGGAGGCAGCAGUGGGGGAUAUUGCACAAUGGGGGAAACCCUGAUGCAGCGACGCCGCGUGGGCGAAGAAGUAUUUCGGUAUGUAAAGCCCUAUCAGCAGGGAAGAAGAAAUGACGGUACCUGAGUAAGAAGCACCGGCUAAAUACGUGCCAGCAGCCGCGGUAAUACGUAUGGUGCAAGCGUUAUCCGGAUUUACUGGGUGUAAAGGGUGCGUAGGCUGUGAGGUAAGUCAGCGGUGAAAUGCCCCCGCUCAACGGGGUGAAGUGCCAUUGAUACUGCCUUGCUGGAAUGCGGAUGCCGUGGGAGGAAUGUGUGGUGUAGCGGUGAAAUGCAUAGAUAUCACACAGAACACCGAUUGCGAAGGCAUCUCACGAAUCCGCGAUUGACGCUGAUGCACGAAAGCGUGGGUAUCAAACAGGAUUAGAUACCCCUGUAGUC
RNAcentral lists this ribosomal RNA (443 nucleotides) under uncultured bacterium. RNAcentral's name for it is "partial 16S ribosomal RNA". It matches the Rfam family "Bacterial small subunit ribosomal RNA", at positions 338 to 795 of the family's 1533-position model. The record is from RNAcentral.